Molecule: unclassified non-coding RNA, 346 nt
Filed under: soil metagenome
Description: partial contains 5.8S ribosomal RNA, internal transcribed spacer 2, and large subunit ribosomal RNA
Rfam family: 5.8S ribosomal RNA (bases 1-120)
Source: RNAcentral
GAUGAAGAACGUAGCGAAAUGCGAUACGUAAUGUGAAUUGCAGAAUUCAGUGAAUCAUCGAGUCUUUGAACGCACAUUGCGCCCGCCAGUAUUCUGGCGGGCAUGCCUGUUCGAGCGUCAUUUCAACCCUCAAGCCCUCGGGUUUGGUGUUGGGGAUCGGCGAGCCUUUCUGGCAAGCCGGCCCCGAAAUCUAGUGGCGGUCUCGCUGCAGCCUCCAUUGCGUAGUAGUAAAACCCUCGCAACUGGAACGCGGCGCGGCCAAGCCGUUAAACCCCCAACUUCUGAAUGUUGACCUCGGAUCAGGUAGGAAUACCCGCUGAACUUAAGCAUAUCAAUAAGCGGAGGA